GAUGAACGCUGGCGGCGUGCCUAAUACAUGCAAGUCGAGCGAACAGACGAGGAGCUUGCUCCUCUGACGUUAGCGGCGGACGGGUGAGUAACACGUGGAUAACCUACCUAUAAGACUGGGAUAACUUCGGGAAACCGGAGCUAAUACCGGAUAAUAUAUUGAACCGCAUGGUUCAAUAGUUAAAGACGGUUUUGCUGUCACUUAUAGAUGGAUCCUCGCCGCAUUAGCUAGUUGGUAAGGUAACGGCUUACCAAGGCGACGAUGCGUAGCCGACCUGAGAGGGUGAUCAGCCACACUGGAACUGAGACACGGUCCAGACUCCUACGGGAGGCAGCAGUAGGGAAUCUUCCGCAAUGGGCGAAAGCCUGACGGAGCAACGCCGCGUGAGUGAUGAAGGUCUUCGGAUCGUAAAACUCUGUUAUUAGGGAAGAACAAAUGUGUAAGUAACUAUGCACGUCUUGACGGUACCUAAUCAGAAAGCCACGGCUAACUACGUG
This 497-nucleotide ribosomal RNA is filed under the name uncultured bacterium. RNAcentral describes it as "partial 16S ribosomal RNA". It matches the Rfam family "Bacterial small subunit ribosomal RNA", at positions 28 to 507 of the family's 1533-position model. The record is from RNAcentral.